UUGUGCCAUGCUACAAAGCUACUGCAACUUCGUCAUCUGAAUAUUUGAAAAUUUAGGUCACAUCAUAUAAAGCCUGAAUUGCAGGUAAGGCUUAAUAUACUAUUAUUUUUUUAUGUAACUUAAUGUUUGUUGUGAUAACUUAAUUGCAAUAUUUGGCAUUCUAGGAUGGUGGUGUCUCUUAGAUGUGUGUGCAUGGAAGUUACAUUGCAGCUACAAUGUCUGCCGCAUUUGCCCUUAAAGCCAUCUUUUAGUUUCAGGAGUGGAACAAUGCGAAGCAAACACAUCCUUUUGCAUGGCAUCAGUUGGACCGAACCGGGAGGCUUCGAACUGAGAGGAUGGCUUCAAAUCGUCCAGGCAGUGCCGGUUAGCACCUCUUUCUCCUUUGCUCGAGUUGCGAAGAGUUUCCAAAUUCAAACGCAGCAGGUGGCAUCGGCACUGUAUUUCUCAAGAAGAAAAAAAUGUUCUUGUAUGUAUUCCUACCACAAGAAAUCCAACAGUACUUCUGGGCAUCACAUGCAAGCUUCCCCUUUUCACCUUCCAACUUAGCUAUCCACCUUUCUUCAAUUUUGUAUAUAUUUGUCGGUGUUGUUCUUGACCAUUAUGAGGUAUGUAUCAAGUAAAUUUUGUGCUUUGUCUAUCGAUGGACAGAAAUUUCAGGAGUUUGUCUUAGAAAUUUCCAUUAUACAUAGGUUGCAUGUCCUAAGCACUGUAAUUGAAGCUUGGCACCGGCAUGGCGCAUUGGGAUUUUAUGAAAGAAUUGAAGUAGAAGAUAGGCUGAGUAUUAGAAGUUGCCCAUUCCAUUGGCUGAAACCAGUCAAAUACCAUUCAAUCAUAUUAUCUCCAUAUCUUUUUAAAUAAUUAUGUAGCCAUUUCAGGAAGAAUACUGAAGUAUAUGUACACGAAUGA
This 906-nucleotide long non-coding RNA is filed under the name Phoenix dactylifera (date palm). Its description in RNAcentral is "long non-coding RNA (PDAC_LNC009420)". The record is from RNAcentral. Lineage: Eukaryota; Viridiplantae; Streptophyta; Magnoliopsida; Arecales; Arecaceae.